UUGAGGAUGAUGAAAUCAAUCAGACGGAUUCCCAUUGUUUUUUCAUAUGAGAACAUAUAUAACCAGCUACUUCUGACUCUA
This 81-nucleotide small nucleolar RNA is filed under the name Corchorus capsularis. Its description in RNAcentral is "snoRNA snoR12". It matches the Rfam family "Small nucleolar RNA R12". Rfam says of the family: snoR12 is a C/D box small nucleolar RNA, which acts as a methylation guide for 25S ribosomal RNA in plants. snoR12 has been alternatively named snoZ44 in Arabidopsis and snoZ131 in rice. The record is from Rfam by way of RNAcentral. Lineage: Eukaryota; Viridiplantae; Streptophyta; Magnoliopsida; Malvales; Malvaceae.